RNAcentral lists this ribosomal RNA (497 nucleotides) under uncultured bacterium. RNAcentral describes it as "partial 16S ribosomal RNA". It matches the Rfam family "Bacterial small subunit ribosomal RNA", at positions 28 to 507 of the family's 1533-position model. The record is from RNAcentral.
GAUGAACGCUGGCGGCGUGCCUAAUACAUGCAAGUCGAGCGAACGGACGAGAAGCUUGCUUCUCUGAUGUUAGCGGCGGACGGGUGAGUAACACGUGGAUAACCUACCUAUAAGACUGGGAUAACUUCGGGAAACCGUAGCUAAUACCGGAUAAUAUUUUGAACCGCAUGGUUCAAAAGUGAAUGACGGUCUUGCUGUCACUUAUAGAUGGAUCCGCGUUGCAUUAGCUAGUUGGUAAGGUAACGGCUUACCAAGGCAACGAUGCAUAGCCGACCUGAGAGGAUGAUCAGCCACACUGGAACUGAGACACGGUCCAGACUCCUACGGGAGGCAGCAGUAGGGAAUCUUCCGCAAUGGGCGAAAGCCUGACGGAGCCACGCCGCGUGAGUGAUGAAGGUCUUCGGAUCGUAAAACUCUGUUAUUAGGGAAGAACAUAUGUGUAAGUAACUGUGCACAUCUUGACGGUACCUAAUCAGAAAGCCACGGCUAACUACGUG